ACUCCUACGGGAGGCAGCAGUGAGGAAUAUUGGACAAUGGACGCAAGUCUGAUCCAGCCAUGCCGCGUGCAGGAAGACUGCCCUAUGGGUUGUAAACUGCUUUUAUUUGGGAAUAAACCCCUCUACGUGUAGAGGGCUGAAGGUACCAAAUAGAAUAACGCAACCGGCUAACUCGCUGCCAGCAGCCGCAGGUAAUAGCGGGAGGUGCAAGCGUUAUCCGGAAUCAUUGGGUUUAAAGGGUCCGCAGGCGGACGUAUAAGUCAGUGGUGAAAGCCUACAGCUUAACUGUAGAACUGCCAUUGAUACUGUAUGUCUUGAAUUCGGUCGAAGUGGGCGGAAUGUGUCAUGUAGCGGUGAAAUGCAUAGAUAUGACACAGAACACCGAUAGCGAAGGCAGCUCACUAGGCCUGAAUUGACGCUCAGGGACGAAAGCGUGGGGAGCGAACAGGAUUAGAUAACCUGGUAGGAUAG
This 471-nucleotide ribosomal RNA is filed under the name uncultured bacterium. RNAcentral's name for it is "bacterial SSU rRNA". It matches the Rfam family "Bacterial small subunit ribosomal RNA", at positions 335 to 798 of the family's 1533-position model. The record is from RNAcentral.